UACGAGGGGAGCUAGCGUUGUUCGGAAUUACUGGGCGUAAAGCGCGCGUAGGCGGUUUUCCAAGUCAGGGGUGAAAGCCCGGGGCUCAACCCCGGAAUAGCCCUUGAAACUGGAGAACUAGAAUCUUGGAGAGGUCAGUGGAAUUCCGAGUGUAGAGGUGAAAUUCGUAGAUAUUCGGAAGAACACCAGUGGCGAAGGCGACUGACUGGACAAGUAUUGACGCUGAGGUGCGAAAGCGUGGGGAGCAAACAGG
Molecule: ribosomal RNA, 253 nt
Filed under: uncultured bacterium
Lineage: Bacteria
Description: partial 16S ribosomal RNA
Rfam family: Bacterial small subunit ribosomal RNA
Source: RNAcentral